Molecule: ribosomal RNA, 681 nt
Filed under: uncultured bacterium
Lineage: Bacteria
Description: bacterial SSU rRNA
Rfam family: Bacterial small subunit ribosomal RNA
Source: RNAcentral
UCGAACGGCAGCACGGGUGCUUGCACCUGGUGGCGAGUGGCGGACGGGUGAGUAAUACAUCGGAACGUAUCCAGAAGAGGGGGAUAACGCAUCGAAAGAUGUGCUAAUACCGCAUAUUCUCUGAGGAGGAAAGCAGGGGAUCGAAAGACCUUGCGCUUUGGGAGCGGCCGAUGUCUGAUUAGCUAGUUGGUGGGGUAAAGGCCUACCAAGGCGACGAUCAGUAGUUGGUCUGAGAGGACGACCAGCCACACUGGGACUGAGACACGGCCCAGACUCCUACGGGAGGCAGCAGUGGGGAAUUUUGGACAAUGGGCGCAAGCCUGAUCCAGCAAUGCCGCGUGAGUGAAGAAGGCCUUCGGGUUGUAAAGCUCUUUCAGUCGAGAAGAAAAAGCUGCAGUGAAUAACUGUAGUUCAUGACGGUAUCGACAGAAGAAGCACCGGCUAACUACGUGCCAGCAGCCGCGGUAAUACGUAGGGUGCGAGCGUUAAUCGGAAUUACUGGGCGUAAAGGGUGCGCAGGCGGCUUUGUAAGUCAGAUGUGAAAUCCCCGGGCUUAACCUGGGAAUUGCGUUUGAAACUACAAGGCUAGAGUGUGGCAGAGGGAGGUGGAAUUCCAUGUGUAGCAGUGAAAUGCGUAGAGAUAUGGAAGAACAUCGAUGGCGAAGGCAGCCUCCUGGGUUA